AGUUGCCCUUAGUACGAGAGGACCGGGGUGAACAUACCACUGGUGGACCGGUUGUAGCGCCAGCUGCAGUGCCGGGUAGCUAAGUAUGGAAGAGAUAACCGCUGAAAGCAUCUAAGUGGGAAACUCGCCUCAAAACUAGUUCUUCCUUUAGAGCCGUGGUAGACCACCACGUUGAUAGGCUGGAUGUGUAAGCACAGUAAUGUGUUUAGCUGACCAGUACUAAUAGCUCAAUUGGCUUGAUUUAUG
Molecule: ribosomal RNA, 246 nt
Filed under: Candidatus Pelagibacter sp.
Lineage: Bacteria; Pseudomonadati; Pseudomonadota; Alphaproteobacteria; Candidatus Pelagibacterales; Candidatus Pelagibacteraceae
Description: partial 23S ribosomal RNA
Rfam family: Bacterial large subunit ribosomal RNA
Source: RNAcentral